Molecule: unclassified non-coding RNA, 285 nt
Filed under: plant metagenome
Description: partial contains small subunit ribosomal RNA, internal transcribed spacer 1, and 5.8S ribosomal RNA
Rfam family: Eukaryotic small subunit ribosomal RNA (bases 1-54)
Source: RNAcentral
GGAAGUAAAAGUCGUAACAAGAUUUCCGUAGGUGAACCUGCGGAAGGAUCAUUAUUGUAUAACCGAGGUGCGAGGGCUGUCGCUGACCCGAAAGGUCGUGCACGCCCGAGUGCCCUCACACACAUCCAUCUCACCCCUAUGUGCACCACCGCGUGGGUCCCCCUUUGGCUUGUUCGGAGGGGGGCUUACGUUUUCACACAAACUUUGUAUGCAGUGUAGAAUGUAUUUUUUGUUUUUGCGAUCACGCAAUCAAUACAACUUUCAACAACGGAUCUCUUGGCUCUC